GAUGAAGAACGUAGCGAAAUGCGAUACUUGGUGUGAAUUGCAGAAUCCCGUGAACCAUCGAGUCUUUGAACGCAAGUUGCGCCCGAAGCCAUUAGGCCGAGGGCACGCCUGCCUGGGCGUCACACGUCGUUGCCCCCCCAUCUACUCCUUCGGGAUUGCGGGGGGCGGAUGAUGGCCUCUCGUGUGCCUCGUCGCGCGGUUGGCCUAAAUGCCAAGUCCUCGGCGACGCACGCCACGACAAUCGGUGGUUGCGAAACCUCGGUUGCCUGUCGUGUGCGGUCGUCGCGCAUCGAGGGCUCGAAAAAAUUGCCGGGCUUCGGCUCGACUUUCAACGCGACCCCAGGUCAGGCGGGGUUACCCGCUGAAUUUAAGCAUAUCAAUAAGCGGAGGA
This 391-nucleotide unclassified non-coding RNA is filed under the name soil metagenome. RNAcentral's name for it is "partial contains 5.8S ribosomal RNA, internal transcribed spacer 2, and large subunit ribosomal RNA". The stretch from base 1 to 122 matches the Rfam family "5.8S ribosomal RNA", at positions 35 to 154 of the family's 154-position model. The record is from RNAcentral.